GGGGAAUUAGCUCAAGUGGUAGAGCGCUCGCUUAGCAUGCCAGAGGCACGGGGAUCAAUGCCCUGAUUCUCCA
RNAcentral lists this transfer RNA (73 nucleotides) under Entomophthora muscae. Its description in RNAcentral is "tRNA-Ala". It matches the Rfam family "tRNA". From Rfam's summary of the family: Transfer RNA (tRNA) molecules are approximately 80 nucleotides in length. Lineage: Eukaryota; Fungi; Entomophthoromycota; Entomophthoromycetes; Entomophthorales; Entomophthoraceae. The record is from RNAcentral.